Molecule: non-coding RNA, 2289 nt
Organism: Peromyscus maniculatus bairdii (prairie deer mouse)
Lineage: Eukaryota; Metazoa; Chordata; Mammalia; Rodentia; Cricetidae
Source: RefSeq, a predicted model, not a curated record
CUUCCUUAUAGGUGAGAGGCUCUGGCUCAGUAUACCUGUGGUUCCCUUUGCUGAAAUGUCCCCUUUCUCUCCCUGCUCUGCCUAGGUAGUCUUGGCUCAGCUUUGGAUACCGGCUUACACCCAUUCACCAAAGCCAGAGGUCUUCCUUGAGACCCCCUGAUCAGAGUUAUUCUACGUCAGCACUAUUGAGAUUUCAGGACAGGUAAUUUUCCCUUGAGGGGCAACAUCACAGAACGUUGAACAGUGUCCCCAUCCCCUACCUACUAGAAGUUAGCAGCAUCUCUUUUAUCGUGACAGAAACAUCCUAGCUGUUGUUAAGUGUUCCUUGGAGGUUAAGAGUCAUCCUUCUCCCCCCUGAGGGCCUUGCUUCAGACUACUAUCUCAGACUCACCCUCUGCUUCCUUUUCUUUGUAACGUUUACUACAUUCUUCACACUUCUGGAUUUUUUUGUAUGUGCGUGUGUCAUAUGUGUGGAGUGUAUGAAUACAUGGGUGUGUCAUAUGUGUGGAGUGUAUGAAUACAUGCGUGUGUCAUAUGUGUGGAGUGUAUGAAUACAGGUGUGUGUGUGUGUGUGUGUGUGUGUGUGUGUACCCAUGCACGUGUGCAGAGGCCAGAGGAGGACAUUCCUUCCCCUGCUCUAUUACUCUACUUUAUUCCCUUCAGACAAAGUCUGCCACUGGACCCGGAACUAGCCUGGCAGCCGGCAAGUCUCAGUGACUCUCCUGUCUCUGUCCCCCACAGUGCUGAGGUUACAGGCUUGUCCACAGCCGUACCCAGCUUUUUACAUGGGAGCGCAGGAUUCAAACUCAGGUCCCCAUGCUUGUACAGCAGUGCUCCUGUCCACCGAGCCAUGUCCCCAGCCCAUAGGUUUCUGGGUGCUAGUUUAAUGCUUGCCUCCUCCCCUAACCAUCAGCAUCCUGGUGGCAGGGGCAGAGGCCAUUGUUCUUUGCUGUGUCUAACCUUUCACCCCGCAAUAAUGCUGACAAAGGAAUGGACAACACAGUCCUCCAGAAGAUACAAGGUCUCCUCUCACGGCAAGUGGUCACCUGUGGAAGACAGGCGAGAGGAGGUUUUAGCCCUGAGUGUGUGAGCUUCUAAGUGUCUUCAGUUACGAGACUGGAUGGAAUUUCGGCUCUCAGCCAAGCACCCCAUGGGCCAAAGGACCAUAAGCAGAGACAAAUGGAGAUCCUUCAGGCCCACAUUUGAUUUCUAGGGCUAGGAAAGAAUCAACUUCAACCUUUGUUGGCUGAGGAACUACGUGCCGGCCCCUGUGCUAGGAGCUUUGAUGUGUGUGAUCUCAACAGGCUUCACAGCCCAGUGAAAGUGGGCAGUCCCAAGGGGCAGCCAGCUGUUUUAUGUAUCGCACAGCUGGAAAAGAGCCACCCACUUCUCUCUGGGCUUCUCUGUGCCUGUCUCAAGCCUGACCUGAACCCCUUCUGCCCUAUAUUUUUGUUUCAGGAGCCACAGUGAGUGGGUUGUGGCAUGAUAAAAGCUGUCAAGGCACCGCUGCCCCCCAUGACUGCACUUGACUGUGCCUUUGAAAAUCUCUUUAUGCAACUGCAGCUGAAUUUUCCUAGUCUUUGCACUUCUGAGACAGCAUAGUGCUCUCUAGAAACAAAAGAAAAGCUGAGAAACAAAGAAGUAUGAAGCCAGAAGCACAAAGGAUAGAGAAGCAUUGUGACUACAGUCUGGGAGACUGGCUGCAAGAGUCAAACCUGAUGCCCUGGACACGGGGGUGGGGUGGGUGUAACCCAGUGUUUGCAUCAGAGAUGAAUAGGGGUGCAGGAUGAUAGGGGGAGAGACAAAAAUUACAGAGCAAUUUCCAUUUUCAGAAUCUCGGGAAGAAUGUAGGUGAAAGAAGCUGCUUUUGGACCUCAGCAAAACAUGCAAGAGUAUUCUGAAGAAAGUGAACCAGGAAAGCCUUGGGUCUAGAGUGUCACUUGCAGUCCAAACCUGAGCAGACACACUGUCUGGGCCUCACAUUAAGAUCUGCACACUAAAUGACAGGAUCCCAACAACCCUCUCUCCAGAUGGUGCCCUGGUUUCUAUCAACCGCACAAGGAGAAGGAUUCUCUUUAAGAGAAGAGCUAAACAGUGAUAUCUCCCAGAGGGUGGCCCAGCACACACACGUUUAUUAGCCAUUGGUUCAGGUGAUUUGCGCUGCCAUGUUGUAAACCAGUGGUUCUAACUAAUGGGUCAUGACCCCAUUGCGGGGAUUGAAUAACCCUUUCACAGGGGUUACAUAUCAGAUAUCCUAUAUCAGAUGUUUACAUUACAAUUCAUAACAGU